CGGACGGGUGAGUAACGCGUGGAUAACCUGCCUCAUACAGGGGGAUAACAGUUAGAAAUGACUGCUAAUACCGCAUAAGCGCACAGGACCGCAUGGUCUGGUGUGAAAAACUCCGGUGGUAUGGGAUGGAUCCGCGUCUGAUUAGCUGGUUGGUGAGGUAACGGCCCACCAAGGCGACGAUCAGUAGCCGACCUGAGAGGGUGGCCGGCCACAUUGGGACUGAGACACGGCCCAAACUCCUACGGGAGGCAGCAG
Molecule: ribosomal RNA, 255 nt
Filed under: uncultured bacterium
Lineage: Bacteria
Description: partial 16S ribosomal RNA
Rfam family: Bacterial small subunit ribosomal RNA
Source: RNAcentral